This 406-nucleotide ribosomal RNA is filed under the name uncultured bacterium. Its description in RNAcentral is "partial 16S ribosomal RNA". It matches the Rfam family "Bacterial small subunit ribosomal RNA", at positions 30 to 526 of the family's 1533-position model. The record is from RNAcentral.
AUUGAACGCUGGCGGCAGGCCUAACACAUGCAAGUCGAGCGAGCGGCGGACGGGUGUGUAAUGUGUGGGAAACAGCCUGAAGGAGGGGGAUAACUACUGGAAAAGGUAGCUAAUACCGCAUACCAUCAGAUGUGCCCAGAUGGGAUUAGCGAGUAGGUGGGGUAACGGCUCACCUAGGCGACGAUCCCUAGCUGGUCUGAGAGGAUGACCAGCCACACUGGAACUGAGACACGGUCCAGACUCCUACGGGAGUCAGCAGUGGGGAAUAUUGCACAAUGGGCGCAAGCCUGAUGCAGCCAUGCCGCGUGUGUGAAGAAGGCCUUCGGGUUGUAAAGCACUUUCAGCGGGGAGGCGUUACCCGCAGAAGAAGCACCGGCUAACUCCGUGCCAGCAGCCGCGGUAAUAC